Molecule: ribosomal RNA, 478 nt
Filed under: uncultured organism
Description: partial 16S ribosomal RNA
Rfam family: Bacterial small subunit ribosomal RNA
Source: RNAcentral
UACACUCCUGCGGGAGGCAGCAGUGGGGAAUUUUGGACAAUGGGCGAAAGCCUGAUCCAGCAAUGCCGCGUGAGUGAAGAAGGCCUUCGGGUUGUAAAGCUCUUUUGUCAGGGAAGAAACGGUGAGAGCUAAUAUCUUUUGCUAAUGACGGUACCUGAAGAAUAAGCACCGGCUAACUACGUGCCAGCAGCCGCGGUAAUACGUAGGGUGCAAGCGUUAAUCGGAAUUACUGGGCGUAAAGCGUGCGCAGGCGGUUUUGUAAGUCUGAUGUGAAAUCCCCGGGCUCAACCUGGGAAUUGCAUUGGAGACUGCAAGGCUAGAAUCUGGCAGAGGGGGGUAGAAUUCCACGUGUAGCAGUGAAAUGCGUAGAUAUGUGGAGGAACACCGAUGGCGAAGGCAGCCCCCUGGGUCAAGAUUGACGCUCAUGCACGAAAGCGUGGGGAGCAAACAGGAUUAGAAACCCUGGUAGUCCCAUGAU